Non-coding RNA from Mauremys reevesii (Reeves's turtle), 1011 nucleotides. Lineage: Eukaryota; Metazoa; Chordata; Testudines; Geoemydidae. The record is from the annotation of a RefSeq genome assembly.
CACAGGAAGCCGAGCUCGUCUGGAUUCCCACCAUGGCCUGGGCCCCUCUGCUCCUCACGCUGCUCACUUACUGCUCAGGGGUCAGUUCGCAGCCCGUGGUGACUCAGGAGCCCUCGAUAUCAGUGAUCCCAGGAGGGACUGUCACUCUGUCCUGCAGCCUGAGCACUGGAGCCAUCACCAGCGGCAACUAUCCAGCCUGGUACCAGCAGAAACCAGGCUCUGUUCCUAAGUUGCUCAUAUAUGAAACUAAUAAGAGACCCUCAGGGAUCCCUGCCCGGUUCUCCGGGUCCAUUUCCAGUAACGAUGCUGCCCUGACCAUCACCAGUGUCCAGGCAGAGGAUGAGGCUGACUAUUACUGUACUGUGUGGACUGGUAGUGCGUGGAUCUUCGGUGGAGGAACCCAGCUGACCGUCCUUGGUCAGCCAAAGGCAUCUCCCACCGUGCACCUCUUCCCUCCAUCUUCGGAAGAGAUAAAAACAAAGAGCAAAGCCACACUGGUGUGUCUGCUGGGCAGCUUUUACCCAGGGUCAGUCCAAGUCACCUGGAAAGCUGACGGCAAGCAGAUCUCCUCUGGAGUGGAGACGACCAAACCCUCCAAACAGAGUGACAACAAGUACAUGGCCAGCAGUUACCUGUCUCUGGCUGCAUCAGAUUGGAAGACCCAUGAGACCUACACCUGCCAGGUGACACACGAUGGGAAGAGCUUUGAGAAGUCCCUAAAGAGCUCAGAGUGUUCUUAAUCCUCUGACCCCCGGAGGGCUCGGCCGGUUCCCACGUCAGUCUGUAGGGGGCUCCCCAAGGGAGCCAGGAUCUGUCUGUAGCAUUCCCAUAAUGCUGAUUUCCAGCAAAUGUGCUUCCUAUUUUAGGUGGGGGAUUUUACCAAUUCAUGACACCUGUCGUUAUUCCCACGUCCCUACUGCUCUCACCCCCCUGCAUUCCCUGGAAUUGUCCUUCCUGCUUUAGUCUCUGAUGCAGCCUUGUUAUGAUAUUAAUAAAAUCAGAAAAAAUUGA